This 532-nucleotide ribosomal RNA is filed under the name Colletotrichum fructicola. RNAcentral describes it as "SSU rRNA". It matches the Rfam family "Eukaryotic small subunit ribosomal RNA", at positions 579 to 1116 of the family's 1831-position model. Lineage: Eukaryota; Fungi; Ascomycota; Sordariomycetes; Glomerellales; Glomerellaceae. The record is from RNAcentral.
GUAAUUCCAGCUCCAAUAGCGUAUAUUAAAGUUGUUGUGGUUAAAAAGCUCGUAGUAGAACCUUGGGCCUGGCUGGCCGGUCCGCCUCACCGCGUGCACUGGUCCGGCCGGGCCUUUCCCCCUGUGGAACCUCAUGCCCUUCACUGGGUGUGUGGGAAAACAGGACUUUUACUUUGAAAAAAUUAGAGUGCUCCAGGCAGGCCUAUGCUCGAAUACAUUAGCAUGGAAUAAUAGAAUAGGACGUGUGGUUCUAUUUUGUUGGUUUCUAGGACCGCCGUAAUGAUUAAUAGGGACAGUCGGGGGCAUCAGUAUUCAAUUUUCAGAGGUGAAAUUCUUGGAUUUAUUGAAGACUAACUACUGCGAAAGCAUUUUCCAAGGAUGUUUUCAUUUUUCAGGAACGAAAGUUAGGGGAUCGAAGACGAUCAGAUACCGUCGUAGUCUUAACCAUAAACUAUGCCGACUAGGGAUCGGACGAUGUUAUUUUUUGAACUCGUUUCGGCACCUUACGAGAAAUCAAAGUGCUUGGGCUCCA